CCUAACCAUGCAGUCGAGCGGAACGAGUUAACUGAACCUUCGGGGAACGUUAACGGCGUCGAGCGGCGGACGGGUGAGUAAUGCCUGGGAAAUUGCCCUGAUGUGGGGGAUAACCAUUGGAAACGAUGGCUAAUACCGCAUAAUAGCUUCGGCUCAAAGAGGGGGACCUUCGGGCCUCUCGCGUCAGGAUAUGCCCAGGUGGGAUUAGCUAGUUGGUGAGGUAAUGGCUCACCAAGGCGACGAUCCCUAGCUGGUCUGAGAGGAUGAUCAGCCACACUGGAACUGAGACACGGUCCAGACUCCUACGGGAGGCAGCAGUGGGGAAUAUUGCACAAUGGGCGCAAGCCUGAUGCAGCCAUGCCGCGUGUAUGAAGAAGGCCUUCGGGUUGUAAAGUACUUUCAGCAGUGAGGAAGGUGUUGUCGUUAAUAGCGGCAUCAUUUGACGUUAGCUGCAGAAGAAGCACCGGCUAACUCCGUGCCAGCAGCCGCGGUAAUACGGAGGGUGCGAGCGUUAAUCGGAAUUACUGCGCGUAAAGCGCAUGCAGGUGGUUUGUUAAGUCAGAUGUGAAGCCGGGCUCAUCCUCGGAGUUGCAUUUGAACUGCAGACUAGAGUACUGUAGAGGGG
This 625-nucleotide ribosomal RNA is filed under the name Vibrio sp. RNAcentral's name for it is "bacterial SSU rRNA". It matches the Rfam family "Bacterial small subunit ribosomal RNA", at positions 47 to 659 of the family's 1533-position model. Lineage: Bacteria; Pseudomonadati; Pseudomonadota; Gammaproteobacteria; Vibrionales; Vibrionaceae. The record is from RNAcentral.